GAGAGGUGCUGCAUGGCUGUCGUCAGCUCGUGUUGUGAAAUGUUGGGUUAAGUCUCGCAACGAGCGCAACCCCUAUCGUCUGUUGCCAGCAUUAAGUUGGGCACUCUGACGAGACUGCCUGGGUUAACCAGGAGGAAGGUGGGGAUGACGUCAAGUCCUCAUGGCCCUUAUGUCUAGGGCUACACACGUAAUACAAUGGCGCGUACAAAGGGAAGCGAACUCGCAAGGGGGAGCGAAUCUCGAAAAGCGCGCCUCAGUUCGGAUUGAAGUCUGCAACUCGACUCCAUGAAGUUGGAAUCGCUAGUA
This 306-nucleotide ribosomal RNA is filed under the name uncultured Peredibacter sp. Its description in RNAcentral is "bacterial SSU rRNA". It matches the Rfam family "Bacterial small subunit ribosomal RNA", at positions 1033 to 1340 of the family's 1533-position model. The record is from RNAcentral. Lineage: Bacteria; Pseudomonadati; Bdellovibrionota; Bacteriovoracia; Bacteriovoracales; Bacteriovoracaceae.